This 229-nucleotide ribosomal RNA is filed under the name uncultured bacterium. Its description in RNAcentral is "partial 16S ribosomal RNA". It matches the Rfam family "Bacterial small subunit ribosomal RNA", at positions 568 to 796 of the family's 1533-position model. The record is from RNAcentral.
CGCGUAGGCGGUCUUGUCGGUCAGAUGUGAAAGCCCGGGGCUCAACCCCGGACGUGCAUUUGAAACAGCAAGACUUGAGUACGGGAGAGGAAAGCGGAAUUCCUGGUGUAGAGGUGAAAUUCGUAGAUAUCAGGAGGAACACCGAUGGCGAAGGCAGCUUUCUGGACCGAUACUGACGCUGAGGCGCGAAGGCGUGGGUAGCGAACAGGAUUAGAUACCCUGGUAGUCC